AUGCUAUAUCGGUAUUAAAGGGUAGUGGAAUACGACCUUUACCACCACUAGUAUUAAUUAACACUUCGACUAUCGAUUGCCUUCCAUUGUUUAUCGCGCGAAAAAGCCGCCGUUUUCUUAAUUUCCUCGUUUACGACCAAUUUAAUUUCUUUUGUUGUGGCUGCUUAAUGAGCCGCACAAUGGAGUCCGUGAAAAGCCACUCAAAGUGCUCUACGACCCUGCAGGAAGGUGUGAACACGGGGCAGACGGCUGUCAAGUUCAAGUUCGGCUGAGAAUUGUUUUGGGCAGAUUCGUAUCGGGCCACCACCGCCAGCCACAAGGCAGUAGCUUCGCAGCCGCAGCCCGCACCAUCAUCAUCAUCUACUGCUCGUGGAGGUUCUAUGUUGUUUUUAGUUUUCAAUUGCUCGCUUCACGCCAUGCAACGCUAACGGCCUUGCUAAACAAUAGAUUCAGCCGCCAGUCGCUGUCGUCGGUUGCUGCCUUCGCCGUCUGUGCCUCCUGCACUUUUGCCUCCGCCUCCACCUCCGCCUCUGCUACUGCCUGCUACCUGUGUAUCUCUGCCACUAUGCGGCUGCUACUUUUAUCAAUUGACAGGCGUCGGCGGCGUCACAAUAAGCAGCACAUGCACUCAACUGAGGGAACAGCAGCCCCGGCGAUGCAACAAUUAAAGGCGUGCGAGUAAAGAUGUGCGAAACCGAUGUGGGGAUGCUGAUGUAGAUGAUGAUGCGGCUGCUGAACGGCUCCCAUGACAUUGAGCGGCGCGCCGUGUGUGCCAGGCCCCGGGAACGACUACAAUGAGCAAUUUUUCGAAGCCAAGCGGUUGGAUGGAUGGCUGGAUGGAUGGCUCGCUCGCUCGAAUGCUUGUUAACAGCCACAAUGACAACGGCAGACAGAUGACGACGUUGCACGUCAACGCUCAAGUGCAUCCGUUAUAACUGUCAAUGGGCAUUAACUCUUGUGGCGCACUGUGUCGCCGCUCUCUGCUCUGCUGUUGUUUUCGGCAACAGGUCCAGUGGACAAAGAUCUAAUCAAUUUUUGUCUGAACUCGACAGCGGCUGCGACCACCUUGAUGUUCAUGUCCCGAACCCGACAACAGCGACGACGACGACGACUUGAGGCCAAUUUACUUUACUUUUCAUUCAUGUUGUACUACGGCGGGUACUACGGCAGUGGGAAUAACCCAGAAGGAAAAGAAUAAGAGAAAAAACUCUGCAGUUGCAGUUGCAGUUGCAGUUUGCAGUUUGCAGUUUGUGGCAAAGCGAAAGACUCUGGCAGCGAACUUGCGGCACUCACUCUUCUGGAAAAGCUCAAAACGAAAUGGAGGGAGAGAUUCUUUUCCACAGAAGUGGAACCUCAAACGAAAGACUGUGGCAACGAACUUGCCGGAGAACAUUUUCGGGAAAAGUCGAACAGGGAAAAGGAACAGAGCGCUUUCUUGGGACUUGGGAAGGAUUAGCGGCUUUUGCAGUUCUUUAAACGGACGGAAGACAGGGAAUGUCACAGAAGUUCCACUGUUCUAAUCCACACCUUUUCCACCAUCGUACUCGUACAGCCAAGAAGUCAAAGAACUACAACAGCAUUUAGUUGAUGAUGGGACUUGAAGAGCUUGUGGAUUUCUUGCUGACGCACCGGCAUCAUCUCCAUCAUCAUCACCAUGAUCUCUGACGAAGAGGCACAUCAAUCAAAUGCCUCAUUGUACAUUGUUUUUACACAUUUCGACUACAAGGGCCGUCACUUGAACUUGACAUUUGGUGUAAGUGACUAUUAGGGGAAGUGCCAUGAGAAGGUUCUUCUUCUCGUUCCGAGUCCAGCCCAGAGACAGAGUCAGAGUCAGUGUCGGAGUCAGAGCCAAGCCUUUGGCAAUUAGCCGUGAAUAUCAAUCAGCGCACCAUUUGAGUGGAAAAACCGCUCAGCUUUUAAUUACACAAAAAGCUCUUUGUGCUGUGCUGUGUGUGGGACUGAGAGUGGCUCGAAGGCCUCCCAUGUCCCCGCCCACGGUCACCACAACGCCUCUGCAACACACACCCGACUCAAUCUCGGAUGUCGAUGGCGAUGUGGCUCUGGCUGUCGAUGUUUGUUACCAAGUCGCUUGUUAGAAUCUCACUUUUUCUCUCUUUCUCAUACAUAUAUGCAAAGCGGGCUUGUUGUUGUUCUCGGUCUUAGCCCCGGCUUGCGGGUAAUAAGCCAAUUGGCGUUGGCCACACUGCUCGUACAUUUUAAUCAAGCCAACAGAGUUGUAAAGCCCACGCACCAUCCAAGCCAAAUAUGUUCCGAGGUGUCGCCAAAGCUGUGAGAUGGCGGCAGCUGUCGACCUUCGCGGCGUUGACUCAUGGCCUGUCCCUGUCCAUAACCGACCAACUAGCUAGAACCGGAGCUGAUGAAAUUGAGGAGGAUUUUUGGGAAUACUUGGGGCGGAAAACCCGAAAGGCAAUGACCAAAGAUCAUGCAGUGCUAAAACAAGAAUUUCUUGGCCAGAAUUUGGUUAAAAGUUUUGCUGAAUCUUCUAGGUUUCUAGUCGUCUUGAACUGUCAUAAUAUUCUCCACGCUUCUUGAAUGCUUCUUGCUAAUACUUUUUUCAGGCGCCAUUCAGGCGAUAGUUCCUUCCAUUUUGAGGAAACCAGAAGUGACUGUCGAGCUUAAUUAACAGAAGCGCCUAGUCCGACAACGUCUCGUACUUCUAUGGCUACUGUUGACUAUAUCACUUACUGCGGUGGCUGGCUGAGGCCUGAGGGGUGUCUGGCCACUGGCCACUGGCCACUGGGCACCGGCCACCGGUUGCCGGUUGCUGGUUGCCAAUUCGAUUAGGCCACGCAAAUGUAAUUUAAUAAAUGCGGUUGCCCAUGUUGAUUAGCAUGUGCGGUUUUAGCAAUUUACGAGUAGUGGCACGCAUCCGCGCAUCCACAGGAUAUGAGCUGGCACUACGACAAUGACAGGAUGCGUCAGUGCUCUCUGAAGUCAAGGCGAACUCCAAGCUGAACUCCGCACCGAACUCUCCACCGCUGGUCUGGAGACAGGAGAAAUGUUUAUGGUUAUGUGCUCGCCUGCGGUGGCAGCUUCAAACGCUUGGUGAUUGAAUUUUAAAUUGUGGCUGUACGUGCAGCAGGCUCCCCAUGCUCUCUGCUGUGGCAAGAUUAAUUUAAAUGAAGUUAUUAGCCAGCCCGAUUGUGCAUUGACAGGGCGCAAACAAAAGACCUAGGCUCCAGCUUCAGCUUCAGCGCCAGUGCCAGCCCCUGCUCCAGGUCCAACUCCUACUCCGACUGCAGCUUAAGGUGCCCUGAUAUGGGGAUAUGGGAUAUACAAUAUGCAUGUCUACAACGGGUUUUCGUCUGGCACAUUGUUGUACGAGUGCCCGCAGUAGUAGUUGUUGCUCUGCAUUUGAAAGUUAAAUUACGGUAGCGAUAUCGGAGCAGACAUUCCGUUAAUUGGCCGCACAACAGGCGGAGAUCUGGCUGCGGCUAGUAGCUGUCGUUGCUCUUCAGGAAGAGAUGUUGGUGUUCUGGAUACUCUUUUUUUUUUUACAGGAAUUAAAGAAUUUUUGGUAUUUCCCAGAAGUUUUACCAGAGAUCUCUAGAGCGAGGGGCUAUGGGAGCAACAUUUUAGAAUCAAGCCUUAAGAUAUUCGGGGGAUUAUUUUCUUAUGCGAUGUAUGGGAUGUUGCACGAGGGAUGAAGAAGAGUAGGGACUAUCUCUAACAAUUUUGUAAGAUUUUAGAACAUUUUUAGCAGUCGUUUUUGCAUAUGUUUUUUCAAAUAGGAAAGACACUUUCCACGGAAGCUUGAAGUGGAUUUUAAUCCCUCCUUUUUGUGUUGAUUAUUCCGAUUAUUCGUACAUAUAGAAUCAAAGGUUUGGGUCAGAAAAAAUAUGCUCGAAACCGAGAAGUUUAUACGAACAAAUAGAACUGUGUUAUAGAUUGAAACUGUAUUCCAUUUAGCUACUUUUUUGUGUAUCUUUUUGUAAGUGCAACCAAUCUUCGCUGUGCCCCAGCAGCAUUACCUUCUGUCUGUUUUUUUGUUUUUCUUAUUUUGGCUAAGUCCGCUUUACAGUUGCUACGAAAAUUGUUGCAAAUUGCAGUUUAAAAAGUUUCCGUGUUGGCUGUUGCGCGGCACCAACGUUGUUGGUGGCGGCAUCGGCAGCGGCAGCGCCAGAGUCUGCGACUCGACGGCGACUGCAACUAAUAUGAGUCAUAAAUUUAAAGGCUUAACUCGAGAUGGAGGCUGUGCCGUUGACAGGGAUUUUUUAAAUGAAAUAAAUAAACGGCAUUACAGCUAGUUAUAUGCAGCGAGAUCAGGGUCUUGUGCGGCAUAAACCACGGCAACAACUACAGCAACAGCGACGGCAACAGCGACAUCUGUGUGACAGAGUGUUGGUGGCGGCACUCGAAUGUUGAACUGAAUCUGAAUCGGAACUCACUCGUAACUGGGCUGGGCCAAAGUCGUCUGGUUACUUUUGCAUUUGGUUGCAUGCUGCCCCGUCUCUGCAUGAGACGAAGCCAUUUUAUUGAUACAGAUACUCGUAGAGGCCAAAAUUUGGGGUCCACUAAAACCAAAGAGCCGCUUGAUGUCUGCUGUUUUUUUUGGCAAUUCCUUUGCCACGGACCCGCAGCAUGACAUCAUUUUGAGUUACUCCGAAUCCGAAGCCGAAUCCCAAUUCAGGUCUUUUGUGGCUGCAGCAGCCCUACACAGCGAAAAAACUGGUCGCCGUUUUACUUUCGCUUUUGUGUUGAUCUUUUGCUGACUUCGUUUCGGUUUCUGUGCUGCUGCUUUUUUGGCAGAGAUGUUUCGAUGGUCUCCAUUUUUCUGUUUUUGGGUCAUCCCAAAGAAGUAUCCGCGUAUAUGGCAAUGAAAACGAAACCGAGUUCUGGUGAAAGUAGGCUGGAAAACGCAUAACAAGUGCAAGUCAAAGGAGGACCACAUGGUCGGUGCCGUGGCACGCUGAGCGAUUGUGUCAUGGUUGGAGCCCACGCAUCGCAUCGCAUAGCAUCGCAUCGCCCACAAAGCCACCAAAAGCCUCCACAGACUAAUGAUGUUAGACGCUUCGAAGACAGACAACAGGCACAGGUUGGCACUGACUUAGGCCUUAGCUUUUGCUUUAGAUUUGGUUUUGGCUUUGGGUUUCGUCUUCAAGUGAUUUGCUCAUCUGGUUCGGUGCCCACACAGUUUGACUCUUUUUGGCUAUGCGGCAGUCAGAAGAGAUCAAUGCGAAAUGCCUUUUGUGCGAAAAUUAAUUAGAAUUUUGUGGCUUUGGAUAUUGGCUGCUCCGAUGCUUUGGCUGCUCUGAUGCUCUGGCUGGGAAAAGACCUUGAGUGGCAGCUCCAAUCGAACCAAAGUUGCGGUUCAAGAGACUGUGUGGGAUGCAGAAACUAGUUGGGGAUCAGAGCAGCCAAAUGAGUCAGUGUCUCGGCAAACGCUUGGGUCAUCGUAGAUCGUAAUGGCUCUGAUGGAAUGGAGAUGGAAUGGAGCCUCGCAACAUGACUUACGAAUUACACAAAAUCGCUUGUAUCAAUCUUCAGCCCGGUUGAAAGUAGCCAAAUCUCUUUCCCACGAGUUUCACUUGGCUAUAAAACUUCAGUUUUAUUUGCAUUCAAUAAAGGUUUCAUCGACCAAUGCCGCUUGUUGGCCAAGUCUUUGUUUCCUACUGCAAUAAAUCGCGAAAAGUCUCGAUAAGUGUACCAAGAGUGCUGUAGACUGAAACAAGUUUCUUUCUUAAGUCUUUCGAUCUUGCAAUUAAAAUCUCUCCCUCUGAUAGAGAUCUCUGCAAACUGUGAUAGAUGUGUCGCCUUAUGCCGGGGCUCUUCUGGGGUUUGGAAGGGGAGUCGCCAGCGAAGCAUUCACUGGGUUUUUUGGGUCCCUUGGCUCAUUUAAUUGUGGCAAUUUCUUUCGCCCACGCAGCGAGUGAGUCAAGCGCUUUGGCUCAUAAUUUAUAGGCAUUAUUAUUGUAAUUUCUCCCAGACGCCGCGGCAGAUCGCACGCAAAACAAUCAGACAUACACGUAAAGUGAAAGUUUUGCACCUUUUGCCGCACAGCAAACAGCUAACAAACGCAUCGGCACUACCAGCUUGAAGAAAACAAAAGUAGUCAGGCAGUCAGUCAGUCAGUCAGGCGGUUUGAAAAAUCAGUUAGCGAGUCAGUCAGUCAGUGCGAUCCCCAAAAGAUGAGCCACGAACUCCAACCAAAGUACUACCUACGACCAGACCAAAGACAAUGGCUUUCAAAUGACUGGCAGCAACUCGUGGCUUUGGCUCCAACCAAAACUGGCGCCGACUGACUGACAAAUGAGAGCUGCAGUAGUCGCCUUUUUCUGACCAAAAAAAAAA
Long non-coding RNA from Drosophila pseudoobscura, 6312 nucleotides. RefSeq lists it as uncharacterized. The record is from RefSeq and is a predicted model, not a curated record. NCBI's taxonomy places the organism in Eukaryota, Metazoa, Arthropoda, Insecta, Diptera, Drosophilidae. The transcript has 5 exons.